GGCCAACUCAUAACAGGUACGUCAUAUGAAAUCUUUAAUACGAAAAUCAACUUAUAUCAACAAGAUUUUAGGAAUUAAUCAAUCUCAUUCUAAAAUCAAAGUAAUUUAUUCUCAUGUUAACAAGAAUAAUUUUUGCCUCUUUCUUUGUAAUGAGCUUAAUCUUGUAUACAUUCCUUUAACAUGUAUAACUGUGUGUGUGUGUGUGUGU
RNAcentral lists this unclassified non-coding RNA (208 nucleotides) under Hevea brasiliensis (rubber tree). The record is from RNAcentral. Lineage: Eukaryota; Viridiplantae; Streptophyta; Magnoliopsida; Malpighiales; Euphorbiaceae.